GAUGAAGAACGUAGCGAAAUGCGAUAAGUAAUGUGAAUUGCAGAAUUCCGUGAUUCAUCGAAUCUUUGAACGCACAUUGCGCCCCCUGGUAUUCCGGGGGGCAUGCCUGUCCGAGCGUCAUUGCAACCCUCAAGCGCGGCUUGUGUGUUGGGCUUCGUCCCCCCGUGGACGUGCCCGAAAGGCAGUGGCGGCGUCCCGAAUGGUGCCCGAGCGUAUGGGAACUCUCUUCCGCUCGAACCGGCCCAUUCGGCGCUGGUCGAACCCCAAUUUUUUUUUACCGGUUGACCUCGGAUCAGGUAGGGAUACCCGCUGAACUUAAGCAUAUCAAUAAGCGGAGGA
Molecule: unclassified non-coding RNA, 339 nt
Filed under: soil metagenome
Description: partial contains 5.8S ribosomal RNA, internal transcribed spacer 2, and large subunit ribosomal RNA
Rfam family: 5.8S ribosomal RNA (bases 1-120)
Source: RNAcentral